GGAUAGUGUAACUGCCUCUGUGUCAGUCAGCGCGGUAUUUCUGAGUUAUUUAUUUUGGUAGGAACCAAAGUUCUCUAAGGCGGAACCUUUGUUUUUGUAUCGCCCGUUUCCGUCAGGACAUACUUUAGCGUAACACUCAUCAAAAAAGUCCGCUGAUUUAGUACAUGUUUUUCAGUGCUGAUGCAUCUGCAAAAUAGCUCUUAGCAUCAAGAUAAACAAUCCUACAGAGUAAUGCCAAGCUACACAACUUUCCUCUUGCAAUGCAGCUACUAAGUUUUCACGGUCUGGAUGAACCAAAUAAAUCCUGCCAGUAAACAAAAAGGAAA
This is a long non-coding RNA of Gadus macrocephalus (Pacific cod), 326 nucleotides long. RefSeq lists it as uncharacterized. NCBI's taxonomy places the organism in Eukaryota, Metazoa, Chordata, Actinopteri, Gadiformes, Gadidae. The record is from RefSeq and is a predicted model, not a curated record. The transcript is spliced from 2 exons.